UGUGUGGCUGGCUGAGAAGCAAAGUCUUUUUUUGGUGUGUGCCGAGGUGUCACUGCUAGCUCGCUAACAGGAUGUGGCAAGGCGAGAGAGUGCAAGCGAGGCGGUGGAUUGAAGCGGGGAUUUUCUCUCGCACGUCUUCUCGUAUUUCCGAUGUCGCCUUCAUGUUGUGCUCGGCUCAUUGCCAGCAUGAACAACAGAAAAAAAAAAAAAAAAAAAGCACCCGAGAGGCCCAAUUUCAAGAGAAGAGCCCUAACAAGAUAGAGAGCAUUAAGGAGAAGAAGCCCAGUGCUGGCUCAUUUUGGACACUUCUUUCGGUGUAAUUCGAGGCAAUACAAAACUCUCAUUAAAAGCUGAGUUUCCCCGUUUUAUGGGGAGACUCCAACUCGAGCACUGCCCAGCCCACGUGCACUGAUUCACACUACUCAGUCGAGUAUACGAGUUUUCAAUUUGCUUUAAGGCUUGAUUGGCAGAUUGUCCUGUGUUUUUUCGCCAAUUGCUUCUUGGGACUUUUUUGUGGGUCUCUAUGAUCGACCUGCCGACCAAAUUUCAUGUUGCCAAGCUGAACAGGCUUUGGGAGCUGAAUUUUCAAAUCAUUCAGGCAGGGGCUAGAAUGGGGAAAACCCUCAAAAGGGUGGCUUAUGGGGCCUAAAUCAGUACAUGUUGCUAUAUGAGGGAAACUCAAUUUGUUUUCCUUCCUCGGCCAUGAGUCCUAAUUUAGUCGCACAUUCUGGCCUCCCCCCCCAUUCAUGGCAGUGAGAACACGGUAACCUUUGGCAAGCCGCAAGCUGUCUGCUUGGGUGAAGAUAAGAGGACGCCAUAGUCAACAUGUGUGCCCUUUAAAAGGGAAAAAGAUGCAGAGAGCUAGCCAGAAUACAUAUCUUUUAUUUGUCAGCCAGAGAAAAUACUGUGAUACUGAAGAAGAGCAGCGAGAAACACCAAAAAUAAAUGUCUGUCGUAUUGUAACGCCAGUGGUUGACGGGGCGUGAAAGGCGGAACGUCAAACAAAACGACAACCAAAAAAAAAACAAAACAAAACGAGCAGCUUCACUGAUUAUCCGCCAACCACAGAUGUGCCACCAUUAGCUGUCAGGUGUGUGUGGCAGGAUCCUACUUUGCUCAUUUCUAUUUUUCUAAUGGAAAAAAGGCAGGUGGCGCUCUAUAUCCGAAGUCGGCUACCUUGAAGAAAAA
Molecule: long non-coding RNA, 1188 nt
Organism: Hippocampus comes (tiger tail seahorse)
Lineage: Eukaryota; Metazoa; Chordata; Actinopteri; Syngnathiformes; Syngnathidae
Exons: 2
Source: RefSeq, a predicted model, not a curated record